UACAGAGGGUGCGAGCGUUGUCCGGAAUCACUGGGCGUAAAGGGCGCGUAGGUGGCUUGGUAAGCGUGUGGUGAAAGUCCGGGGCUCAACCCCGGAUCUGCCGUGCGAACUGCUGAGCUCGAGCAAUGUAGAGGCAGGUGGAAUUUCGGGUGUAGCGGUGGAAUGCGUAGAUAUCCGAAAGAACACCAGUGGCGAAGGCGGCCUGCUGGGCAUUUGCUGACACUGAGGCGCGACAGCGUGGGGAGCAAACAGG
Molecule: ribosomal RNA, 253 nt
Filed under: uncultured Gemmatimonas sp.
Lineage: Bacteria; Pseudomonadati; Gemmatimonadota; Gemmatimonadia; Gemmatimonadales; Gemmatimonadaceae
Description: partial 16S ribosomal RNA
Rfam family: Bacterial small subunit ribosomal RNA
Source: RNAcentral